GCUGUGCAGGGCAGGGAAGCUCCAGGCAAACAGCCCAGCAAACAGCAGCACUCAGCUAAAAGGAAGACUCACAGAAGACAGUUGAAGAAGGAAAGUGGCGAUGGACCUCAUCCCAAAUUUGGCGGUGGAAACCUGGCUUCUCCUGGCUGUCAGCCUGGUGCUCCUCUAUCUGAUGAGAGUCCCCAAAUCAGCGAAGAGUCCACUUACUAAACAGACAUAAGGAAAUGAAGUGUCCUGGAAGAAUUCCUGCCUGAACCUCUCAGGAGCAUUUGAGGACAUUUAUCAAGUAUUCACUCCAGGCUUGGGACUAUGAAGACUUCAGCUGCUUUCAGCUAAUCAUUGAGACUUUUCACGGGUCUCAGAAUAGAGUCAGGAAAGGACCUGAUGAGUGAAUGCAAUUACUGAUGUUGGAGUUGCUGUUAUUAUUUAUCGUGUACAUAUUACCUCCCUCUCUUGACCAUUCCAGUUCCUGAGUAACUCACCAGCCCUCUGAUCUAUAAAGUCACAAUCCCUGUGACCUGAUUUCUGUUUAACUUCGUAGAUAUGGGACCCGUACACAUGGACUUUUUAAGAGACUGGGAAUUCCAGGGCCCACACCUCUGCCUUUGUUGGGAAAUGUUUUGUCCUAUCGUCAGGGUCUCUGGAAAUUUGACACAGAGUGCUAUAAAAAGUAUGGGAAAAUGUGGGGUAUCUCUUCCCUGUUUGGACCACAUUGCCCUUCAUCACAUGAAGACUUGGGUGGCUCCUGUGUCAGACUCUUGCUGUGUGUCACACCCUAAUGAACUAGAACCUAAGGUUGCUGUGUGUCGUACAACUAGGGAAUGUAUGAUGGUCAACUCCCUGUGCUGGCCAUCACAGAUCCCGACAUGAUCAGAACAGUGCUAGUGAAAGAAUGUUAUUCUGUCUUCACAAAUCGAAGGUCUUUAGGCCCAGUGGGAUUUAUGAAAAGUGCCAUCUCUUUAGCUGAGGAUGAAGAAUGGAAGAGAAUACGGUCAUUGCUGUCUCCAACCUUCACCAGCGGAAAACUCAAGGAGAUGUUCCCCAUCAUUGCCCAGUAUGGAGAUGUAUUGGUGAGAAACUUGAGGCGGGAAGCAGAGAAAGGCAAGCCUGUCACCUUGAAAGACAUCUUUGGGGCCUACAGCAUGGAUGUGAUUACUGGCACAUCAUUUGGAGUGAACAUCGACUCUCUCAACAAUCCACAAGACCCCUUUGUGGAGAGCACUAAGAAGUUCCUAAAAUUUGGUUUCUUAGAUCCAUUAUUUCUCUCAAUAAUACUCUUUCCAUUCCUUACCCCAGUUUUUGAAGCAUUAAAUGUCUCUCUGUUUCCAAAAGAUACCAUAAAUUUUUUAAGUAAAUCUGUAAACAGAAUGAAGAAAAGUCGCCUCAACGACAAACAAAAGGUAAAAUCUGAUGGUGGUUAAAUGACGAUGUUUAGGUUUUGAUAAAUUUAGAUUUUAUACACAUGAUAGAGCAUGUAUCUGUAUUUUUAAAAAUAAAGACAGAGAACUUAUGUUUAGAACAAGAGAAGUCAUUUGGUAGAAAUAAAGAAGGAGAUUGGGGAAGGAGAUGAGAAUGAGUCAGAGAGAUAGCAUUUAAAACUUGAAAUCAGGCACAACAGUUAGUAUGUCAUGAUAUAAACAGUAUUGAGAUAAAAUUUUACCACUUCUCUUCCCUUCAAUAAAUUGUCAAAGGAUAAAGUUUCCUGUUUGAAAAUAUAUUUUACUGGUAUUGUGCUUUCCUCAUAUCACAGAUUGGUAAAGAAUCAUUUUAAGUCCAAGACUCUUAUUUUACAUAUUCUGCAAUUAAAGGUCCUAUGAGGCUACCUGCCGACUGCUGACAUGUAGUGUGUGGUAAAUGUGAGUGUUUCACAGCCUGGAGUGAACAGGGGUCUUCUCUGAGAAUUGAGGUUGCAAGGCUGGCUAACUCAGCUUUGCCUUCACGAGCCCUAGAGGCCAGCCGAAGGAUGUCUGCAGGUCAGGGAGACAGGACCAGGUAACCCAGCUGUCACUGAAGAUUAUAUAGAGUUUGAGAAUGUUGGAAUAUUUGAAAAUGCUCCCCCAAAAAAGCUGCUGAUGAGUUCUGGAAAUGUCAGGAGAUUAAUCUAUACGGACACUGCUGAAGAAAAAGGUAGAAGAAUAAAAGAUCCAGUACUUCUUCCUGGGUAAGCAGUUAUGACCAGAGAUGGAACCGGCAACUCUUUGGCCAGAAAGCUGUAUCCAAAAGACAGAGAAGAUGAGAAACAGGGAGGGCAAAGGCGAAAAAGCAAUUGGACAUGAUAGCUAGAUUUGUUUCAGGAAAACAUCCUGCUUUCCAAGGAUUUAGAUGAAUGUUUUUGUUCACUGGUGACUCAGGUAACACGUCUUCAAGAAGCCAUAGGGAGGUUGAGGGAGGGAAGUCAAGAAGGGAGGUUGAGGACUGCACUUUUGAUUUACUUCUGACUUCACGAGUCACUUUCUGCCAAAGAAAUCUCUCCUUUUGCUUCUAGCACCGACUAGAUUUCCUUCAGCUGAUGAUUGACUCCCAGAAUUCGAAAGAAACUGAGUCCCACAAAGCUCUGUCUGAUCUGGAGCUCGCAGCCCAGUCAAUAAUCUUCAUUUUUGCUGGCUAUGAAACCACCAGCAGUGUUCUUUCCUUCACUUUAUAUGAACUGGCCACUCACCCUGAUGUCCAGCAGAAACUGCAAAAGGAGAUUGAUGCAGUUUUGCCCAAUAAGGAAGCCUCUGAGGAGAAAAACAAAGGGAGAAACAUAGAGAAUGGUUGCUACUGGCAGAAGCAUAAGAUCUUUGUACAAUAUUGCUGGCCCUGGUUCAUCUGUUUACUGUUAUCACAAUAAUGCUAAGUAAAAAAAAAAAAA
Molecule: small RNA, 2854 nt
Filed under: Pan troglodytes (chimpanzee)
Lineage: Eukaryota; Metazoa; Chordata; Mammalia; Primates; Hominidae
Description: retained intron
Source: RNAcentral